UCAGACGGUCGGACGGCCGCCGGUCCCGGCCCUUCGGGGAUCGGGAUGGGAGGAAAGUCCGGGCUCCACGGGAAUACGGUGCCGGGUAACACCCGGCGGGGGCGACCCCAGGGACAGUGCCACAGAAAGCAAACCGCCCGUUCCAGCCGGAUUUCGGUCCGGACCAGACGGGUAAGGGUGAAAGGGUGCGGUAAGAGCGCACCGCGUCUCCGGUAACGGCGACGGCAAGGUAAACCCCACCGGGAGCAAGACCGAAUAGGGAUGGCCGGUCGCGGCUUCGGCAACGAGGUCGGCGGCGGAUGCAUUCCCGCAUCGCUGUCCGGGUAGGUCGCGCGAGGCGGUCGGUAACGAUCGUCCCAGAUGAAUGGUCGUCACCCGCCGACCGGUCUCGUCCUUCGGGAUCGGGAAACCACGGCGGGAUACAGAACCCGGCUUACAGACCGUCUGAUCCG
This 452-nucleotide RNase P RNA is filed under the name alpha proteobacterium BAL199. RNAcentral describes it as "Bacterial RNase P class A". It matches the Rfam family "Bacterial RNase P class A". From Rfam's summary of the family: Ribonuclease P (RNase P) is a ubiquitous endoribonuclease, found in archaea, bacteria and eukarya as well as chloroplasts and mitochondria. Its best characterised activity is the generation of mature 5'-ends of tRNAs by cleaving the 5'-leader elements of precursor-tRNAs. Lineage: Bacteria; Pseudomonadati; Pseudomonadota; Alphaproteobacteria. The record is from Rfam by way of RNAcentral.